This 70-nucleotide small nuclear RNA is filed under the name Vicugna pacos (alpaca). The record is from RNAcentral. Lineage: Eukaryota; Metazoa; Chordata; Mammalia; Artiodactyla; Camelidae.
GCAGCAGAGAAGAUUAGCUUGACUUCUGCACAAAGAUCACACACAAAUUCGUGAAGCUUCCCAUAUUAAA